GUGCCCACUUCAGCAGCACAAAUACUAAAAUUGCAAUGAUACAGAGAAGAUUAGUAUGGCUCCUGAGCAAGAUGACAUGCAAAUUCAUGAAGCGUUCCAUAUUUUU
This is a small nuclear RNA of Camelus dromedarius (Arabian camel), 106 nucleotides long. Lineage: Eukaryota; Metazoa; Chordata; Mammalia; Artiodactyla; Camelidae. The record is from Ensembl.